Molecule: non-coding RNA, 31 nt
Filed under: Rattus norvegicus (Norway rat)
Lineage: Eukaryota; Metazoa; Chordata; Mammalia; Rodentia; Muridae
Source: RNAcentral
UGGGAUGCCAAUUAAACCGACCAUUUCCUCC